This is a small nucleolar RNA of Hippopotamus amphibius kiboko, 130 nucleotides long. RefSeq annotates it as small nucleolar RNA U109. The record is from RefSeq and is a predicted model, not a curated record. Lineage: Eukaryota; Metazoa; Chordata; Mammalia; Artiodactyla; Hippopotamidae. The transcript has a single exon.
UUACAUGUGGAAGUGUCUCUUCCUUAUUCUUUUAGGAGCAGGACUAUAUCCAUAACAUGCUACAUUGAAAGUUAUUAGGGCUGCCAGUCUAGUAGUAGAAGUUGAGUAAUAGUGUAUUUCUCCUACAUAA